Molecule: ribosomal RNA, 425 nt
Filed under: uncultured bacterium
Lineage: Bacteria
Description: bacterial SSU rRNA
Rfam family: Bacterial small subunit ribosomal RNA
Source: RNAcentral
GGGCCCGCACAAGCGGUGGAGCAUGUGGUUUAAUUCGAUGAUACGCGAGGAACCUUACCAGGGCUUAAAUGUAGUAUGACCGGUCUAGAAAUAGGCCUUCCCUUCGGGGCAGAUUACAAGGUGCUGCAUGGUUGUCGUCAGCUCGUGUCGUGAGGUGUUAGGUUAAGUCCUGCAACGAGCGCAACCCCUAUUCUUAGUUGCCAGCGGUUCGGCCGGGGACUCUAAGAAGACUGCCAGCGCAAGCUGAGAGGAAGGUGGGGAUGACGUCAAAUCAUCACGGCCCUUACGUCCUGGGCUACACACGUGCUACAAUGGUACAGACAGAGGGCAGCCACCUGGCGACAGGGAGCGAAUCCCAAAACCCUAUCUCAGUUCGGAUCGGAGUCUGCAACUCGACUCCGUGAAGUUGGAAUCGCUAGUAAUCG